This 72-nucleotide transfer RNA is filed under the name Methanobacteriota archaeon. RNAcentral describes it as "Euryarchaeota archaeon tRNA-Gly". It matches the Rfam family "tRNA". Rfam says of the family: Transfer RNA (tRNA) molecules are approximately 80 nucleotides in length. The record is from RNAcentral. Lineage: Archaea; Methanobacteriati; Methanobacteriota.
GCAGGCGUGGUGAAGGGGUUAUCAUCUGAGGUUUCCAACCUCAUGUCCCGGGUUCAAAUCCCGGCGCCUGCA